CGGGGAUGUAGCGCCACCGGGUGGUCGGUCUCGUGAGACAGCGGCUGCAACCUUAGAGCGCGAUCUAACGUUCCGAUAUGAUCCUGCCAGCUGCUGAGUUCCCUUGUGGGGUCCCAUUAGAGGUGCUGGUAAAAGAGAGAUCUUCUCCACACACCACAGGAUACCUGAAAGAAAUUGGAACAAAGGACAGUGACUGCAAGAGGCCUGGUGAUUGCUGGACUCACACUAAAAGGAAGCAUUCUGGAACUGGUGAGGAUAUUAUCUGUAUUCAGUUUGAUUAGAUAUAGAUUUGUGGAUUUUAUUUUAUUUUGCUUGGUGACUUACUUUGUUCUGUCUGUUAUUACUUGGAACCACUUAAAUCCUACUUUCUGUAUUUAAUAAAAUCACUUUUUACU
Long non-coding RNA from Malaclemys terrapin pileata, 395 nucleotides. RefSeq lists it as uncharacterized. Lineage: Eukaryota; Metazoa; Chordata; Testudines; Emydidae. The transcript has 3 exons. The record is from RefSeq and is a predicted model, not a curated record.